CUAUCACUGAUCCGAUUGCAUCCACUUGCAGUCGGUCGACAUGGGCCUUCAGCACUGAUCGCCUCGAAUUGCUCGCGAUCGUCGUGGUAGACAAGGGGAGUGUGGCAGCAAUGCCAUCCAGUGUUGUCGACGAUCAACCCGUGC
RNAcentral lists this unclassified non-coding RNA (144 nucleotides) under uncultured Rozellomycota. RNAcentral's name for it is "uncultured Cryptomycota sequence contains ITS2". The record is from RNAcentral. Lineage: Eukaryota; Fungi; Rozellomycota.